CGUUAAUAUUGAGUCACUGAUAAGGUCUUUGCAUCGGAACUAAACACAUUUAUUCUAAAAACAGUUGUUGGCAUGACACGGGUUAUGUUCUUCUCAUAUAUGUUAUGAUGGUAGGAUACUAAACCCCUAACGGGAAGGAUUGUGCCUGAUGUUCAUAUGAUGAAAUCAUAAUCUUUCAGUCAGUUUAGUUGAAGUCUGGAGCUGGCAUGUCAGUUAACUGCUAGUAGUCUGUUGUUAUUUAUGUAUUAUUGUCAUUUUGUUUAUUUUCUUUGGUUACAUCUUCU
This 284-nucleotide long non-coding RNA is filed under the name Mytilus galloprovincialis (Mediterranean mussel). Lineage: Eukaryota; Metazoa; Mollusca; Bivalvia; Mytilida; Mytilidae. The record is from RNAcentral.